Molecule: small RNA, 107 nt
Filed under: Marmota monax (woodchuck)
Lineage: Eukaryota; Metazoa; Chordata; Mammalia; Rodentia; Sciuridae
Source: RNAcentral
GCUGGGCAAGGUGGCCCAUGUCUUUAAUCCCAGUAACUUGGGAGGCUGAGGCAGGAGGAUUGCAAGUUUGAGGUCAGCCUGGGCAAUUUAGUAAGAUCCCAUUUCAA